RNAcentral lists this long non-coding RNA (2844 nucleotides) under Sus scrofa (pig). RNAcentral describes it as "lncRNA (ENSSSCG00060058615.1)". The record is from RNAcentral. Lineage: Eukaryota; Metazoa; Chordata; Mammalia; Artiodactyla; Suidae.
GGCGCGCGCUCGGCCAACUCGGCCCCGCUAGACUUCCGGGAAAGAGGAGGCUUUUCUUCUCCAAAAUUCUCCAGGCUGCUGUGGUGCGCUUUUGUUUUACGGUGGAACACUACCGUUAAAAAGCGUAGCCGUGAAACUAAGUGAGACUAAAACCUGCCGCCUACUUCCUGGAGGCUUUUGUUGGGUCUUGAAACUAGGAAUCUUUGCGGGUCAUCCUUGUCCCUUGAGCAACAUGUCCUCAAUAUGAGCUGAAUUCUGAACAUUUAGCUGAUAAAUGUUAACAUUUUUGGUUGCAUAAUGAAAAACAAAAUAAAACAGAAGAAGAAAGAAAGGAAGAUGAAAAUACAAUAUAAUGUCACGGUCAGUUUCAGCCAUUUCCUGUGACAAUUGUGGUGCUGUACAGUCAUUUCUGAAUUGUGUCUUGUCUCUCCUUUUCACAUAAAAACUGAGAGAGGAGCUAAAAAUGCCCCGAGAAGCUCCCAGAGGACCAAGGCCGACCGGCAGAGCAGAAUCUGGGCCAAUCUCAGCAGUUGUGUUUUUUUUUUUUUCUCAGCCUACUUACCUCAGGAGAGCAGUUUUUCUCUUUCUGAGGACUCGUCCACACGCAGCACAGCCACGCAGAGAGGAGCAUGGCGCUCCGGCUCUGCCCCGUGGUCUCCAGGCCACUGCCCGGCUGGCACUGGGCCUGCAGCAAGCACGCGUGCUCCAGCCACCCUGCGGAAGCACCUUGGCCUCGGAAGAGACCAGAACUCCCCUCCAGCACCAGGCAGGGCUGGGGAGGAAACACCCCACGUCCGCCUGCAAGGCUGAGUCCUGGACGCCCAGUGCCGCCAGGUGGCCCACUGUUUCAGGGCAAAGCUGCACACCCGUCAGGCGGGCACCUACUUUCGAAAAGGGUGAAGGCUUUGGGCGCUCACAACGCUCUGCUUCUCCGAUAUCGCCUCCCACUUUCCUUUGGGGAAAACUCACGGGGGCUGGACAUGGCCAGGACCCCACUGCUGGAGACCAGUGAAACUGCCGACCGAAGCAAUAAACAAACUCAGCGCAUGUGCAAAAGCACAGCCACCGAGAGAGUUUUAUCAUUACCUGCACCUGAUUUUGCUCACGAACCUACGUCACCUUCCCUGAUAAAAGGCAUGUGGGCUAAAGCCUGGGCGCCUUGGUUCUGCGGAACGGAGGGCCUCCUGGUCCCCCACUUUCUAGAUGCGAAAGAGUCUUGUGUGUUUUAUUACGCUGCGUGGUCCCUCUUCCAGGAUCUCCUGUUGCCCUGAAGCGCCGGAUGUGGCACCCCACAUCUGUCCUGACUGUGUGGACGGAGCAAGGGGUCCGUUUUAAUUUCCUUUGAGGUUUCCUUCUUUAUUUAUUUUUCUUUUUAGGGCCUUACCUGCGGCAUACAGAGGCUCCCAGGCUAGGGGUCCAAUCAGAGCUGUAGCUGCCAGCCAAUGCCACAACAACACAAGAUCCUUGCUGAGUCUUCGACCUACCCCACAGCUGUCGGCAAUGCCGGAUCCUGAGCAAGGGCAGGGAUUGAACCCGCAUCCUCUUGGAUACUAAGGGGAUUCUUAACCUGUCGAGCCACAAGGGGACACCGAGGCUUCCUUCUUUAAAGACAAGCUUCCCAUGGUGUUUUCUCAAUAAUACUUCUGUUUGCAAGUUUGGGAGUGUGGCCAGAGGAGACUGUGAGUCUUGUAACUAGCAGAAAACUCAGGAGAAAAAUAUUUUAAGGAGAUGAUGGAAAAAGACCGAACAAAUCCUGAAGAAAGGCCAAGCACCAAGACGACGAUGGGCUGGGUUGGCUUCCUGGUUCCCUGCUCCUCAGCUCUGCUCAGAGGGUCCCAGGCCUCUGCGCCUGGUGCCGCAGAGGUCAUCCCUGGUGCUGGCCGCCCCCAGACCAUCUGGGGGAGCAGCAGCAAGUGUUUAAGGGCACGCGUUCUUUCCUCUCCGCCGCCCUCCAUCCUCCGGUGUGCAGCCCUAAGAGGAUAAAAGCCACCCUCUGGCCGGGCCAGUUGGCCUACAUCAGCGCGGUUCUGCCCGGCUGCUCCCGGCGCGGGGAGGCCGGGCCGCAGUGGCAGCAGCUGGCCCGCUUCCCGGCGGCUCCUCCGGCCGCAGCUGUCCGUGCUAUUUGCAGCUCUCCACAUCCUGAGAGCCGAGAGCAGGCCUCUCCUUGGGCUGUGUGAGUAAGACACAGGCAGACAGUGCGCCGGAGUAACUGGUCAACGGGAGGCCAGGCAGGGCCUUCCUGCAUCGCGGCGAGGCCGGGAAGUUGGGAAACGGUGACCUGCAGGGGCCUGAGGAAGAGCUGCCGGGGCCGCCCCCGCUCGCCAGCGCCCCUAAAAGAGGGGGAGCAGGCAGAGAGCAGGAACUUCUGGUGCACGUCCCCGGUCUUUCCAGACUGUCCCCCACGGCGCCCGCCCCCAUCGCUCACCCUUGACCCCAUUCCCCGAGCAGCGGGCGCGAUCAUCUCAUGUAUUUGUUUGGUUGUGCAGCGGCUGCCUCUUCCCUGAACAGUAAGCGCCUUGAGGCCCCUGGGGUGAUGUUUCCCGCGGAACCUCCGGGGCCAAGCAGGCUGCCUGGCGCCUUUGCAAGUGAAUACCGGCCGGCUCACUCCUCCGGCGGGAGCUGAUCUCUCCACUUGCCUUCUGAGGAGGUGUCUCAACCUGGGGAGAUAAACUGGACUUCUUGGGCGCGGAAGGAAACGCCUUCUCCCUGGUUUCAUGUAUCUUCCAACCCACCGUGUGGGAUCAGCUAAAUAGGAGUGGUCUUUAUGUGAUCUAUACCACUUGUCACUCUUUAAUGUAAUCUUAUGUCAUUUAAAGGUUAAAUUAUAGGGUAACUAAAAAGCGA